This is a long non-coding RNA of Chenopodium quinoa (quinoa), 2455 nucleotides long. RefSeq lists it as uncharacterized. NCBI's taxonomy places the organism in Eukaryota, Viridiplantae, Streptophyta, Magnoliopsida, Caryophyllales, Amaranthaceae. The transcript is spliced from 4 exons. The record is from RefSeq and is a predicted model, not a curated record.
AUAAUUUCGUAAAAAUAAUUUAAGUUCAAUAAUAAUAAUUUCAUUUCAGUAAAAAUAAUUUCAGUUAACUAAAAAUAAGGUGGAGUGAACGGGAUCUUAUCAGACGCUUAACCCCUUUUAUUAUCCCCCAAUUUAUAUGUAAAAAAAAAAAAAAAAAAAAAAAGGAACCUCAAAAUCAGAAACCUUGUUUGCUGAAGAUUCAAAACCGUUCCAACGAUCCUUAAUUCCAAGAUUCAGCCAACGCUUGCAAGAUGAGUUCUUCGACAACAUUUCAAGAAAAUAAUGAAGAAAUUGGAGACACAAGGGAUAUUGAUAACAUCACAUAAGGAUAUUAUCAUGAGGAAGGACUUAUUGAUCAAGAUCUUGAACUUGAAGAUGCAUGUUCGCAUAGUGAACCACUGAACGGUGAGGAACUCAUGAAUGUAGCGGAGGAAGAGGAACUUAACAUGUCAGCACUCAGCAGGAUGAGAUAAAGAAAUUCAAGGAGCAAAGAGAUCAAGGUCCUAAUGAGAAAACAGGUGAGAAAAUUAUUCAGGAUGUGCUUGGCAAAGAUACAUGGGUAUUUGUGAGCUUAUGGACCUGGUAGAAGUAUUACACAACAUUUCAAAGUAUAGCCUUCGCGAUUAGAUCUUUCUAAAGAAAGCAUAUCAAGCAAUUGAAGAAGCACGAAAAGAUGUUGCAAUGCUAGAACAUAAGCUGAACAAGACAAAAAAGAAGUGAAAUCAGUUAGGAAUGACAUGGAUAAAAAUAUCGCAAAGAGCAACGCUGUUUGGGAUAAAAAAAUCAGUCAACUUCUUAACUUUAUUGGAGCAGGGGGGGUUCCUCGAAUAAUAAUGAUUCAGGAAAUGAAGGUUCAUCCAGAUGAAUUAAGUACAUUCAUGAUUCUUAUGUUUGCAAUUUAAUUCACUCUGUAUAUUUCUGCUCUUUUUUUUCCUUAAUAAAAUGGUGAGAAUGAAGAGGUAAUUAUAGGGUCAGGGAAAAAGUGCAGGGUGGGGGAAAGUGCAGGGAGGGGGCAGAUGUAGGGAUGGGGGAAGAUACAGGAGAAGGGAGCAGGUUGCAGGGAGAGGAAAAGAGAUGAACUAUAAUUGGACUAUGCUUGGGAAGGGGGCAGGUUGCAGGGGGGGUAACAAUAUAUGUGUCUGCUGUAUUACAAAUCUAGAGGUUAAUUCUCUGAGAUUUUCAUAUUAUGUUAGAAACUGGAAACUAGCUAACUGAAUACAGGCCCUCCCCAUCAUCUGCAUUACAUGCAAAUGUUCAAACUCUGACAAUUCCUUUUCGGCGGACUUUUGAUACCCAAUUACUUAAUCCAAUUCCCCAUUUAAUUUCUCUGUUACUUCCACAAUCCUCCUGUAUGCCCUUUGCAGACUUUCAUUCUUCUCAGCUUCCUUACUUACAGAAUUACAGUAAACUUUCCUAGCAAAAUCUCUGCCAUCACAACUUAAAACUACUGGUUCAUGCUCCUUGCUGUACUUUCUUUAAUACUUGAUUUGCAAUUAACUUCUUUAACACUUCCUGCAUUGUCCAAUGGACAGUUUGAUUAAUCUUAAUUUAGUGCUGACCAACUUAGGGGAAUGCAAGUGUGUAUAUUGUUGGUGCAAUGAUUUGUUGAAUCUUUGAGUUUUUUGGGCUUCAUAUUGCAUUUUUAUGAUCAAUUUCCACUGGAAUUUCUUUAGGGUUGUUGUACUGUUGUAGUAUACUAUAUCAAAGUUGUUUAUAGUCAUACUAUGCUGAGUGUGCUUUUAUCACUUAUCAAUUGGUGAUGGUUGAUUUUUCUGUGAAUCUGCACUUCAGAGUGGGAAAUAUAAGCAUUCAAAGUUGAUAAUAUCUUGAAAAGCCAAUAUUGCACUUCAGCAUCUCUCUCCUCAAUUUUUCAGACUCCAGGCAAACCUGCCCCGGAAUUACAUGUAUCCUGACCCAAUUUCAGAAUUCGCAAAAGCUAUAAUAAUAACAUUGCACAAAUUAUUGCUUUAAUUAUAUUUUAUCUUAUUUUUUUGCUCUUUUUUUAUUCUUCUGUUUUUUUUCUUGGGAUUUUGCAGGGAACCCAGAAGUUCAAAAUUGAAUUAAAGAAGACAUUGUUGAAAGAUGAAGAUGCAUUUGGGGACGAACUCAACGGGUUGUCGAUGUUUGCGCCAAGUGUGCUGGUCAGAGAAAGCAAAGUGUUUUAGAUGCUCCAGGAUUAGCCAUUAAGUUGGGUGCUGCUACUGCUAGUUGCCGGAACACUGCUACUGCUUUCUGCUGCUACUCCAAUUGUAGUGUGUACUCAAAUUGACUAAUUGUAUUUUUUUUUUUUUCUUUUCAUUUUAUUAGAUUGAAAAGUGUAAAAUUACAAGUUAUUAAAGAAAUUACGACGUAUCUAAGUUUUAUGUGUAUAUAUAUACUAUGUCUGUUGAUCAUUUGGGAUGAAAGUGUAAAUUUACAAGCUAUUAACGAAAAUGUUUUUAAGUUUUUUUGUGUA